AGAAACCUCCUACCCAGAGCAUGGGUCUGUCCCAGGUUUCCUCCUAAAAGGGAGUUUUUCCUGGACCCUGUCCCCCAUGCUUGCUCUUGAGGGGAUUACUGGAGUUUUUGGGGCUUUGUAAAUUGUA
Molecule: long non-coding RNA, 127 nt
Organism: Etheostoma cragini (Arkansas darter)
Lineage: Eukaryota; Metazoa; Chordata; Actinopteri; Perciformes; Percidae
Exons: 4
Source: RefSeq, a predicted model, not a curated record